Molecule: long non-coding RNA, 2943 nt
Filed under: Equus caballus (horse)
Lineage: Eukaryota; Metazoa; Chordata; Mammalia; Perissodactyla; Equidae
Description: lncRNA (ENSECAG00000040581.2)
Source: RNAcentral
GAACGUUCCAUGUGCUUCCAUUCAUUGACUAGUGGCCAUACUCUCCAGCCACAGACCACCAGGAGCACACCUGGAGGUGAACAUCCGGUUGAUUGAUUCGUUGCCAUGAGCGAGCACGCACGUUACAGAGAGCCACGGGGGUUCCACGAGAGGUGUUCGAAGGACUGAGAGGAUGUGCACUGGAGUCAGGUCUCUUCGCACUGCGUAUUGUGGGUUGUUCUUCCAGCGGGAAGGCCCGUGUGUAGCCCAGCCCCCCGGGCCCAGGAGAUGCCCCAGAGACAGAGCCCCUCGGAUAUCUGGCAGCUAAUGAGGAAUGAAACACUUCCAGCUUCUGCACCAACGUCGAAGGCUAAACCCAAGAGAGGAGUGCCGCUGACUGCCGCUCGGAGCCACAGCAUCGCAGCGAGGCAAGGACCUACUCCUCCUCCUGUGACAUCCCGACAGGUGCUCACCCAGCUUGUGCUCACACAUCCUCAGUGGCAGGGAGCUCACUACCUCAUAAGGCAAGGAAAACAAAAUGGAAAAAGCCGAUCCUGCUUUGAAGGAACUCAGUUAAAGGGAGAGAUACAGAGGACAGCAGACACCUGUGCGGCCAUCGCUGAGUCUGCGCACAGAGGGAAUGAAAGUGCAAGGAGGCCUGUAGGGAGAAGGCGGGAGAGCCAGCCCCAGCGAGGGCGGGGCCGAGAGCUGGAGCAGCGGCUCAGGGCUGGGGAAGUGGAGGCUGAAUGUGAGAAACUGAGGCUCCAGGAUGUUACAGAUCAGCAUUUCCCUGUUCAGGCAGAUAUGGAAUCAGUUUUCACAGGAAAAAAUUUGAAGACAUCACCAAAGCCUCAUGUGGUUAAAAACAGAAACGAGGGAGCUGAAGACACGAGCUACCUGGCUGAAGGUUGGCGAUGGGCGGAGGGCAGAGGAGAAGCAGGGCUUUCCACCUCCUGCCUGCUCGCAGCGGUCUGCAAAGCUCCUGAGUGAGGCUAGGUAGUUUCCAUUCACCCCUGCAAAUCCACUUUCCACCUGGGUCUCUCUGAGCCCGGGAGCCUGGUCUUUGUGGACCCCAUCAAUCCUGCGGCUUCUACUUGGGUUCGGCCAACGGGAAGCACCCUCCAGAGAUGCAAAGGCAAGAGAGCAGUCAGGGUCUUUGUUCCCUGCUCCCUCCUUCGGGGCCACAGGUUGGCAGUGGGUGUUCCUCCACCAAAGGUCUCAAUUCUCAUCAGACAGCUUUCUGCUUAAGCCACAGCACAGCUCUGGCUCUCUCUAAGGACACUGUUACCAGUCCCUACCAUCCCCUGUUUGUGUCCCUUAACUCCAUUUGCACCUUUGUUAAUAGUCCCUUCAUUAAACUCGUCUCAACGCCCCAUUGGAGCGAGCCAUUUGUUUCCUGUUUGGACCCAGAGUAAUUCAGUACUAGAACCGUAGGUCAGGAAGGCAUGGCAAAAGUCUUCUGCUCCUGCAGUUUUCAAAUUUUUACUUUGACCUGAAGAGAUGUAGUAAGAAUCACGAUUGUAAAAGUAAUGAAGUUCGAGAAGCCCGUGGAACCCUGCCUGCUCAGCCUGCCACCCAAAGCACUCCUCCUCUCUGCCUCCCCCAGCUGCUCCGUGAAUCCCAGGGCUGUGGGGAGCGCCCUCCCAAGCCCGCUGACCUGGUGCAAACCCCUCGCUCCCGCGGGAGAGCGGCAGGGGCCAGAUCUCUACAGCAGCCGUUGUGGCCAGAGCAGGUCUGAUUUAUGCGCUGGGCCUUCAUCAACAGUCUGCCUCAAUCUCUUCCCAAGUGCAAAGCCCCGUAAAUCUUCGCCAACCCAUGUUAUACAAACACGCAAAAAUGUCAUUAGGGAAACAAACAGCCCCACUGGCCUUGGCAGAGGCCUUUUCUGCCAGGCUCAAGUUACCUAAAAUCAAUAUUUGAACAAGGACAAAACCACAUGUUUCCAAAACCAAAUUAGAGGGUCUAACGGGAGGCCUGGGACGUGGUUACAUCACGCGCGCUCCUGCUGCCCCCCGCGCUGUUGGCGGGCCCCCACCCCUUGCAGUCCCUGGCCUUGCUUGCCCUGAGUAUCUGAACCCAUCAGACAGGUGACACCGAGGGACAGAAUAAGCGAGAAAUAGGAUCUUCUGCAGAGCGGGGGCUGGGACCCAAGUUUACCAGACAUGGGGAGUGGCUGUGUCCCGUCCUGCAGCCCCUAAGCCCUGACUCCACAUCCGUAGCGGGCUCUGGGCUAAGGUCUGAGGGUCCGAGAGUGAGCCAAAUCGCAAGUGUCUGCUCUCAGGGAGCCCACACUACAGUGUGGAAGGAAGAGGAGACAGGAGGUCACUUCAGCGCCGAAGGACAAGCACCAGCCAUGUGGGUGAGUUCCGGGAGCUUUGCAGGCACACAGCAGGGUCGGUAACCCAGGGGCAAGGGGGCCUGUGGGGGACAGCUUCCAGCAGCAGAUGUGUAAAAGGUGCUCUGUCUAACCAGCUACUCCGGCUUUGUGUGUGCCUGGCCCAGGAAGGGAAGGGGGCCGAUGGGAGAAGAGGACCCCUACGCCUCCCAGAAGGGAGGGGUGAGCAAGGAAGAACUCCAUUCUCCCCCAACACGAGCCUGAGCUGGUGGAGAGCUGGGGAGCAGGCGCGGAGCCUUGGCCUUUCCGGGCCUCUCUUUUUGGAGCCAGCCCAGCCCAUCUGCAGCCCCUCUGCCCUCCCCUAUUCUCUGCUUGAGCGCAGGGGAAAAAUGGGCAGCGCUUCUGAGCCAGCUGUGUGGGAAAGUCCUCCUCCGAGGGCAGCAGUAAGGCCUUUGGCCUGCACCUCUGAAGCCACGUUCUUUCAGCAAAAAAGCCAGCACUUUGCUCUCCAACCGCCCCUUGAGCCCUCUGUCUCUACCGAGACGGGAGUCCUAGUCGUUGACUCCUCCCAAACAAAUACCGUGUGAGACGGCUCCUGGGUGCUGCGAGUUGAAACUGUAGGAUACAAG